Molecule: ribosomal RNA, 302 nt
Filed under: uncultured bacterium
Lineage: Bacteria
Description: partial 16S ribosomal RNA
Rfam family: Bacterial small subunit ribosomal RNA
Source: RNAcentral
GCAGCAGCCGCGGGAAAACGGAGGGUGCAAGCGUUAUCCGGAUUUAUUGGGUUUAAAGGGUCCGUAGGCGGAUCUGUAAGUCAGUGGUGAAAUCUCACAGCUUAACUGUGAAACUGCCAUUGAUACUGCAGGUCUUGAGUAAAUUUGAAGUGGCUGGAAUAAGUAGUGUAGCGGUGAAAUGCAUAGAUAUUACUUAGAACACCAAUUGCGAAGGCAGGUCACUAAGAUUUAACUGACGCUGAUGGACGAAAGCGUGGGGAGCGAACAGGAUUAGAUACCCCAGUAGUCCCUGUCUCUUAUAC